GAUGAACGCUGGCGGCGUGCCUAAUACAUGCAAGUCGAGCGAACAGAUAAGGAGCUUGCUCCUUUGACGUUAGCGGCGGACGGGUGAGUAACACGUGGGUAACCUACCUAUAAGACUGGGAUAACUUCGGGAAACCGGAGCUAAUACCGGAUAAUAUUUCGAACCGCAUGGUUCGAUAGUGAAAGAUGGCUUUGCUAUCACUUAUAGAUGGACCCGCGCCGUAUUAGCUAGUUGGUAAGGUAACGGCUUACCAAGGCGACGAUACGUAGCCGACCUGAGAGGGUGAUCGGCCACACUGGAACUGAGACACGGUCCAGACUCCUACGGGAGGCAGCAGUAGGGAAUCUUCCGCAAUGGGCGAAAGCCUGACGGAGCAACGCCGCGUGAGUGAUGAAGGUCUUCGGAUCGUAAAACUCUGUUAUUAGGGAAGAACAUACGUGUAAGUAACUGUGCACGUCUUGACGGUACCUAAUCAGAAAGCCACGGCUAACUACGUG
Molecule: ribosomal RNA, 497 nt
Filed under: uncultured bacterium
Lineage: Bacteria
Description: partial 16S ribosomal RNA
Rfam family: Bacterial small subunit ribosomal RNA
Source: RNAcentral